This 1666-nucleotide long non-coding RNA is filed under the name Homo sapiens (human). Its description in RNAcentral is "rhabdomyosarcoma 2 associated transcript". The stretch from base 854 to 1056 matches the Rfam family "Rhabdomyosarcoma 2 associated transcript conserved region 6". Lineage: Eukaryota; Metazoa; Chordata; Mammalia; Primates; Hominidae. The record is from RNAcentral.
AAAUCCUCUCUUUCUCUUUCUCUCAUUUCCCGUCAUAGGUUCUAUGCAGGCAGAUGAGUGUCACAGCUGUAACUGAGGCACAGAGCAGUACACACAGUGGAGCCGAUUUCCGCGAUGGCGAGAGGGGGCACCGGAGGUGACAACAAUAACAAGACUGUCCUUCGGACAAGUUUUAGAUUCUCAGGAUGAUGGAGUGAGUGAUGGAAUAGGUUGCCAACUGUAGUUACUCCACUCAGCACAGAAUGGCUGCGGGGAAAUAUAAUCAGACAUGCCCAAAGAAGUCUGCUUAGGGUGAAACAAAUACCUUUGAGGUUUAAAUCAGGAAGGAGAGACUGUUUCUACAGGUGUCAUACAAAAAUCAAUACUGAGCCAAGGAUUAUUGGAUCCCAUAGAACCACGGAGACUUGGUAGUGAAAUUCUUCCAAAGGCAGAUGGUGUUCCUAGGUUUGGAAAUAUAAAUCCCAUGGGAAGUCAGCUGAAGACCAUUUUAUGCAUCACUCAUCCUGUUAGAGCCCUGUGCUGUUCUGUCUCUCUAUAAGACUGGCUGAAACCACCACGGUUGUUUACAAUUUAUGCUCUAACUUUGGAUCACCUAGUUAAUACUCUAACUCCGAUUAUUACCAAAGACAAUGUUCUAUAAAAGAUAUUGUCUAUUAGAAGGAUGCUUCUGCAUUAUUAAUAAAAUCACAGGGAAAAUGCAACAUUUUGGAUGUCACAUCUGAUAAGUUGGCAGUUAAAGAACAGAAACAGCAAUAAGACUGCGUGGCUACAUUUUCCCAGUGCCACCAACUGGGAUUUAAGCUGACUAACAUUUUGAAAGCCCAGCCCAUUUCAUUCACAGCAGGAUGGCAGUGGGUGACUGAUCGUACCCGCCAGCUGGCUAAUGUCAUAAUUAACAAAGUUGCUACUACAUCUGCAAAGUUUAAUCGAAAAAUUUGCCAGUGAUAUGAUGGCCUUGUCACAGAGAUCACAAGGGACACGGAGUUGACUUUUGCUCAAGGUGGAACGACAGAGCUGUGUAGGCAAGAUGAGAAAUUGCGAACUUGUUCGGCCAAAGGAGGCUAAUAAUGAAGGGGCCGGGAAGGAGGCCAGUGCUACCAGGGUUAUCUCACAACCUCAGAUGCUGGAUAAGUCGACGGAGGCAGAAUCGCUUUGGGAUGACAUUCAGAAAGCCUGGAGUGAUUACUUGCAAGAGAAAAGCCUACCUAUUCUUUCCAAGGUGCAGGAAUAUUCCCCUGACCUGCUCAUCCAGUGGUCCAGUAAUGAAUUACUGGAGACCUGCCUUAGACAAAGAAUGCACUCGGAGCCCCAACACACCUAAAGCCAUGCUUUGAAGGAUCUGCCAAGCUCACUUUUAAUCAUGAGAAAGAAAUUACCCACACGGAGUCAGCAGAAAAUGAGAAAGUAGAGCUCGUGCUGUGAAUAAUUCCAGCAAGUGCCAAGGGGCUAGUUGAGGAAUGGCUUCAUGAGGUGAAUAUCUUUAGCUUGUACUUAGGGUUUGGUUAGCGUAUAAUCAUUUUCUCUUUUAGGAGCAAUGACUAUCAUACAUGUAUUUCCUAACUAAAGAGUGCUCAGAGCAUUUGUCAGGUUGUUGACAGAUUUAAUAUCAGUCUUGCCCAUGUUGUUAUUUACUAUGACUAAUUUUACGUUUGUAAAUAUGCAAAAA